AAAGGGUGCGUAGGCGGAUUCUUAAGUCAGGGGUGAAAUCCCGAGGCUCAACCUCGGAACUGCCUUUGAUACUGGGGAUCUUGAGUCCGGAAGAGGUGAGUGGAACUGCGAGUGUAGAGGUGAAAUUCGUAGAUAUUCGCAAGAACACCGGUGGCGAAGGCGGCUCACUGGUCCGGAACUGACGCUGAGGCACGACAGCGUGGGGAGCAAACAGGAUUAGAUACCCCAGU
RNAcentral lists this ribosomal RNA (230 nucleotides) under uncultured bacterium. RNAcentral's name for it is "partial 16S ribosomal RNA". It matches the Rfam family "Bacterial small subunit ribosomal RNA", at positions 562 to 791 of the family's 1533-position model. The record is from RNAcentral.